AACGGGGAGGAGCCCAGAGCCUGAAUCAGUGUGUGUGUUAGUGGAAGCGUCUGGAAAGGCGCGCGAUACAGGGUGACAGCCCCGUACACAAAAAUGCACAUACUGUGAGCUCGAUGAGUAGGGCGGGACACGUGGUAUCCUGUCUGAAUAUGGGGGGACCAUCCUCCAAGGCUAAAUACUCCUGACUGACCGAUAGUGAACCAGUACCGUGAGGGAAAGGCGAAAAGAACCCCGGCGAGGGGAGUGAAAAAGAACCUGAAACCGUGUACGUACAAGCAGUGGGAGCCUCUUUUAUGGGGUGACUGCGUACCUUUUGUAUAAUGGGUCAGCGACUUAUAUUCUGUAGCAAGGUUAACCGAAUAGGGGAGCCGAAGGGAAACCGAGUCUUAACUGGGCGUUAAGUUGCAGGGUAUAGACCCGAAACCCGGUGAUCUAGCCAUGGGCAGGUUGAAGGUUGGGUAACACUAACUGGAGGACCGAACCGACUAAUGUUGAAAAAUUAGCGGAUGACUUGUGGCUGGGGGUGAAAGGCCAAUCAAACCGGGAGAUAGCUGGUUCUCCCCGAAAGCUAUUUAGGUAGCGCCUCGUGAAUUCAUCUCCGGGGGUAGAGCACUGUUUCGGCAAGGGGGUCAUCCCGACUUACCAACCCGAUGCAAACUGCGAAUACCGGAGAAUGUUAUCACGGGAGACACACGGCGGGUGCUAACGUCCGUCGUGAAGAGGGAAACAACCCAGACCGCCAGCUAAGGUCCCAAAGUCAUGGUUAAGUGGGAAACGAUGUGGGAAGGCCCAGACAGCCAGGAUGUUGGCUUAGAAGCAGCCAUCAUUUAAAGAAAGCGUAAUAGCUCACUGGUCGAGUCGGCCUGCGCGGAAGAUGUAACGGGGCUAAACCAUGCACCGAAGCUGCGGCAGCGACGCUUAUGCGUUGUUGGGUAGGGGAGCGUUCUGUAAGCCUGUGAAGGUGUACUGUGAGGUAUGCUGGAGGUAUCAGAAGUGCGAAUGCUGACAUAAGUAACGAUAAAGCGGGUGAAAAGCCCGCUCGCCGGAAGACCAAGGGUUCCUGUCCAACGUUAAUCGGGGCAGGGUGAGUCGACCCCUAAGGCGAGGCCGAAAGGCGUAGUCGAUGGGAAACAGGUUAAUAUUCCUGUACUUGGUGUUACUGCGAAGGGGGGACGGAGAAGGCUAUGUUGGCCGGGCGACGGUUGUCCCGGUUUAAGCGUGUAGGCUGGUUUUCCAGGCAAAUCCGGAAAAUCAAGGCUGAGGCGUGAUGACGAGGCACUACGGUGCUGAAGCAACAAAUGCCCUGCUUCCAGGAAAAGCCUCUAAGCAUCAGGUAACAUCAAAUCGUACCCCAAACCGACACAGGUGGUCAGGUAGAGAAUACCAAGGCGCUUGAGAGAACUCGGGUGAAGGAACUAGGCAAAAUGGUGCCGUAACUUCGGGAGAAGGCACGCUGAUAUGUAGGUGAAGCGACUUGCUCGUGGAGCUGAAAUCAGUCGAAGAUACCAGCUGGCUGCAACUGUUUAUUAAAAACACAGCACUGUGCAAACACGAAAGUGGACGUAUACGGUGUGACGCCUGCCCGGUGCCGGAAGGUUAAUUGAUGGGGUUAGCGGUAACGCGAAGCUCUUGAUCGAAGCCCCGGUAAACGGCGGCCGUAACUAUAACGGUCCUAAGGUAGCGAAAUUCCUUGUCGGGUAAGUUCCGACCUGCACGAAUGGCGUAAUGAUGGCCAGGCUGUCUCCACCCGAGACUCAGUGAAAUUGAACUCGCUGUGAAGAUGCAGUGUACCCGCGGCAAGACGGAAAGACCCCGUGAACCUUUACUAUAGCUUGACACUGAACAUUGAGCCUUGAUGUGUAGGAUAGGUGGGAGGCUUUGAAGUGUGGACGCCAGUCUGCAUGGAGCCGACCUUGAAAUACCACCCUUUAAUGUUUGAUGUUCUAACGUUGGCCCCUGAUCGGGGUUGCGGACAGUGUCUGGUGGGUAGUUUGACUGGGGCGGUCUCCUCCUAAAGAGUAACGGAGGAGCACGAAGGUUGGCUAAUCCUGGUCGGACAUCAGGAGGUUAGUGCAAUGGCAUAAGCCAGCUUGACUGCGAGCGUGACGGCGCGAGCAGGUGCGAAAGCAGGUCAUAGUGAUCCGGUGGUUCUGAAUGGAAGGGCCAUCGCUCAACGGAUAAAAGGUACUCCGGGGAUAACAGGCUGAUACCGCCCAAGAGUUCAUAUCGACGGCGGUGUUUGGCACCUCGAUGUCGGCUCAUCACAUCCUGGGGCUGAAGUAGGUCCCAAGGGUAUGGCUGUUCGCCAUUUAAAGUGGUACGCGAGCUGGGUUUAGAACGUCGUGAGACAGUUCGGUCCCUAUCUGCCGUGGGCGCUGGAGAACUGAGGGGGGCUGCUCCUAGUACGAGAGGACCGGAGUGGACGCAUCACUGGUGUUCGGGUUGUCAUGCCAAUGGCACUGCCCGGUAGCUAAAUGCGGAAGAGAUAAGUGCUGAAAGCAUCUAAGCACGAAACUUGCCCCGAGAUGAGUUCUCCCUGAGACUUUAAGUCUCCUGAAGGAACGUUGAAGACGACGACGUUGAUAGGCCGGGUGUGUAAGCGCAGCGAUGCGUUGAGCUAACCGGUACUAAUGAACCGUGAGG
RNAcentral lists this ribosomal RNA (2643 nucleotides) under Escherichia coli. RNAcentral describes it as "partial 23S ribosomal RNA". It matches the Rfam family "Bacterial large subunit ribosomal RNA", at positions 291 to 2915 of the family's 2925-position model. Lineage: Bacteria; Pseudomonadati; Pseudomonadota; Gammaproteobacteria; Enterobacterales; Enterobacteriaceae. The record is from RNAcentral.